This 828-nucleotide long non-coding RNA is filed under the name Rattus norvegicus (Norway rat). RNAcentral describes it as "long non-coding RNA NONRATT012742". Lineage: Eukaryota; Metazoa; Chordata; Mammalia; Rodentia; Muridae. The record is from RNAcentral.
AGCCUAGGAGAUGCAGCCAGUCCUUGUAGGGAUCCUCAUCUGGGUGCCCCACUGGCUCAGGAGGAAGGCCAUGGAUACCACCCACAGAGAGAGCCAAGAGGAACAUGAGAGGGGCUCAGGGAAUGAGCCUUUGUGAGACCAGAGUUGUGGGUGGAAGAGGAACUGUCGGACUGACCCUCCCAGGAAGCCUUAGCCCUUGGGAGAGUUCAGCUGACAGUGUGGAGAAAUCAAAGGCUUCAAGGGGUACCUUCAGUCUCAGCCUCAGCUCCCCAGCCUCCCCACGUUCACCUCUCUCACCUCUCCAUCAUGGCCACCCACGCCUUCCUCCCAUUUCCUCGUCCUUGACAGGCUUGUGUUCUCAUUAAUCUCCUUCAUCUUCCUCUCCCAUUUGUUUUUGUUUGUUUGAAAGACACGGCCAUGUAAGAAACGCCUCAUCUCUUUUUCUGCUGGUGGCUUUUCAGUCCCUACUGGCCUUAAAGAGCAGUGUGUUAUCACGAACAAAGUACCACAGGUUUCCCACUCUGGGUCCUGUCACCACACUCCUGAGAACGAGAGCUCAGCAAGUGAGUCAAUAGAAACCCAAGAGAAAGAAGUCGCACAUACAUCAUGUCGUUUGUGGCAUCUACAAAAGUCUAUAGUGACAUGUUCUGUAAGACUCCUGUGGGUUAGUAACCUCUUUAAUGUGAUUCACUGGGAGACUUUGUGUCCAUUAAGAAUCCUGCUUAUAAACAGUGUGGCAGCUUGGGAAACCCUGAAUAUUCAUGUGACAAGAGAAGGAUACAAAAUGACUACUGCUCGGUAUAAUUAUAUACAUUCAAAAGGCUGGUG